AACGCGUGGGAACAUACCCUUUUCUAAGGAAUAGCCACUGGAAACGGUGAGUAAUACCUUAUACGCCCUUCGGGGGAAAGAUUUAUCGGAGAAGGAUUGGCCCGCGUUAGAUUAGAUAGUUGGUGGGGUAACGGCCUACCAAGUCUACGAUCUAUAGCUGGUUUGAGAGGAUGAUCAGCAACACUGGGACUGAGACACGGCCCAGACUCCUACGGGAGGCAGCAGUGGGGAAUCUUAGACAAUGGGCGCAAGCCUGAUCUAGCCAUGCCGCGUGAGUGAUGAAGGCCUUAGGGUCGUAAAGCUCUUUCGCCAGAGAUGAUAAUGACAGUAUCUGGUAAAGAAACCCCGGCUAACUCCGUGCCAGCAGCCGCGGUAAUACGGAGGGGGUUAGCGUUGUUCGGAAUUACUGGGCGUAAAGCGCACGUAGGCGGAUCAGUCAGUUAGAGGUGAAAUCCCA
This 457-nucleotide ribosomal RNA is filed under the name Thalassobacter sp. ini22. RNAcentral's name for it is "bacterial SSU rRNA". It matches the Rfam family "Bacterial small subunit ribosomal RNA", at positions 112 to 604 of the family's 1533-position model. Lineage: Bacteria; Pseudomonadati; Pseudomonadota; Alphaproteobacteria; Rhodobacterales; Roseobacteraceae. The record is from RNAcentral.